AUCAGUUAUAAUAUAUUUGAUAAUGUUUUUAUACGGAUAACCGUGGGAAACCAGAGCUAAUACGUGCAUUAAAGGCCUUUUGGCUGUAUUUAUUAGUUAUAAACCGAUGGCUUCUGCCUUUGUGAUGAUUCAUAAUAACUGAUCGAAGCGAAUUAGUAUUCGCUAAAUCUUUCUAGUCUCUGCCCUAUCAGCUUUCGAUGGUAGUGUAUUGGACUACCAUGGCUAUCACGGGUAACGGAGAAUUAGGGUUCGAUUCCGGAGAGGGAGCCUGAGAAACGGCUACCACAUCCACGGUAGGCAGCAGGCGCGUAAAUUACCCAAUCCUGACUCAGGGAGGUAGUCACGAGAAAUCUUAUAUUGGCCCAUGUUGGCUGAAUGUAUGAUGGAUUUAAUAUAGACCAUUAUUUGAAAUCAAUUGGAGGGCAAGUCUCGGUGCCAGCAACCGCGGUAACUCCAGCUCCAAUAGUGUAUAUUAACGUUGCUGCAGUUAAAAAGCUCGUAGUUGAAUUUCUGAGGGGUGGUCCUUCCCAAGGGAUCGUACCGCUACUUCAUCCGCGCCGGAAGGUACUACAGUCUUACUUAGUGCUGGAUGCGUGUUUUACUUUGAAGAAAUUAGAGUGUUCCAGGCAGGCUUUGCUUGAAUACAUCAGCAUGGAAUAAUGGAAUAGGACAAGUUGAUUUUAUUGGUUAUUCAUCUUGUAAUGAUUAACAGGGACAGUUGGGGGCGUUUGUAUUCAAUAGUCAGAGGUGGAAUUCUUGGAUUUGUUGAAGACAAACUAAUGCGAAAGCAUUCGCCAAGGAUGUUUUCAUUAAUCAAGAACGAAAGUUAGGGGAUCAAAGACGGUUAGAUACCGUCGUAGUCCUAACCAUAAACUAUACCGACUAGGGAUUGGCGAGUGGAGUGACUCUUGUCAGCACCUAAUGAGAAAUCAAAGUCUUUGGGUUCUGGGGGGAGUAUGGUCGCAAGGCUGAAACUUAAAGGAAUUGACGGAAGGGCACCACCAGGAGUGGAGCCUGCGGCUUAAUUUGACUCAACACGGGGAAACUUACCAGGGCCAGACCUGAGUAUGAUUGACAGAUUGAUAGCUUUUUCUUGAUAACGGGGAUGGUGGUG
This 1114-nucleotide ribosomal RNA is filed under the name Dysteriidae sp. DLR-2013b. Its description in RNAcentral is "bacterial SSU rRNA". It matches the Rfam family "Eukaryotic small subunit ribosomal RNA", at positions 105 to 1282 of the family's 1831-position model. The record is from RNAcentral. Lineage: Eukaryota; Ciliophora; Phyllopharyngea; Dysteriida; Dysteriidae.